GAAAUUCAAAAUUCAAAAUUCAAAAUCAAUUGAAACAAUUAAAGGUACUGAUUGGCUCCGCCACCAUGUAUUACAUACCCUUAAAACCCAACAUACGUGGGUGAAAAUCAAACCUGGGUUUUGAAACUCAAACUCACACCAAUACAUUCUCCUCUCUAUCUCUCCUAAAUCAAGAAGUAGAUAAUGUUUAAUGGCUUGAUUUGAAGAUGUUUAGGUGAUUCUCAGAUUCGUAUGAAUUCAUCCGGGACCCUUCAACACUUGUUUCUGGCUAGAUCACAUUCAUGGAGGUAUAAUAUGCCACUACAAUAGAUUCGACUUUUGAAGUCAAGAAAUAUAGUGUAACACCUCGAAAUUUUGUGUCCAAUAAUGUGUACUAUGCGUAAUUGGCUGGGAUUUCUCCUUAGCAUCAUUAGAAGUCUCGCAAGCUUAAGAUGCCUGAAGUCUGUUGAACAAUAUCUUAUUAUUAUUAUUGAUCCCUUGUGGAUUUUAUUUCAACAAUAGUGAUACUUUGAUAUUACACUUAACGUUGAAAUAUAUUUAUCUUUAUGCUUCCGCUGCGCAUUCAUAUAAUUGUGUGGUUUGACUAUAUUGUUGCCAACUACGUCACG
RNAcentral lists this long non-coding RNA (608 nucleotides) under Helianthus annuus (common sunflower). The record is from RNAcentral. Lineage: Eukaryota; Viridiplantae; Streptophyta; Magnoliopsida; Asterales; Asteraceae.